GAUGAACGCUAGCUACAGGCUUAACACAUGCAAGUCGAGGGGUAACGAGAGGAAAGCUUGCUUUCCUUGUCGACGACCGGCGCACGGGUGAGUAACGCGUAUCCAACCUGCCCCCAACUAGGGAAUAACCUUGCGAAAGUAAGACUAAUACCCUAUAAUUUCCUCAGAUGUCAUCUGACGAGGAAUAAAGAUUUAUCGGUUGUGGAUGGGGAUGCGUCUGAUUAGCUUGUUGGCGGGGUAACGGCCCACCAAGGCAACGAUCAGUAGGGGUUCUGAGAGGAAGGGCCCCCACAUUGGAACUGAGACACGGUCCAAACUCCUACGGGAGGCAGCAGUGAGGAAUAUUGGUCAAUGGGCGGAGGCCUGAACCAGCCAAGUAGCGUGCAGGAUGACGGCCCUAUGGGUUGUAAACUGCUUUUAUACAGGAAUAAAGUUAGCCACGUGUGGUUAUUUGUAGGUACUGUAUGAAUAAGGACCGGCUAAUUCCGUGCCAGCCGCCGCAGUAA
Molecule: ribosomal RNA, 506 nt
Filed under: uncultured bacterium
Lineage: Bacteria
Description: partial 16S ribosomal RNA
Rfam family: Bacterial small subunit ribosomal RNA
Source: RNAcentral